RNAcentral lists this ribosomal RNA (253 nucleotides) under uncultured bacterium. RNAcentral describes it as "partial 16S ribosomal RNA". It matches the Rfam family "Bacterial small subunit ribosomal RNA", at positions 524 to 776 of the family's 1533-position model. The record is from RNAcentral.
GACAGAGGGGGCAAGCGUUGCUCGGAAUUACUGGGCGUAAAGGGCGCGUAGGCGGGCUGGCAAGUCGGUCGUGAAAUCCCUCGGCUCAACCGAGGAACGUCGAUCGAUACUGCUGUUCUUGAGGAUUGCAGAGGAGACUGGAAUUCCCGGUGUAGCGGUGAAAUGUGUAGAGAUCGGGAGGAACACCGGUGGCGAAGGCGGGUCUCUGGGCAGUUCCUGACGCUGAGGCGCGAAAGCGUGGGGAGCAAACGGG